RNAcentral lists this transfer RNA (84 nucleotides) under Caudoviricetes sp. RNAcentral describes it as "tRNA-Leu". It matches the Rfam family "tRNA". From Rfam's summary of the family: Transfer RNA (tRNA) molecules are approximately 80 nucleotides in length. Their secondary structure includes four short double-helical elements and three loops (D, anti-codon, and T loops). Lineage: Duplodnaviria; Heunggongvirae; Uroviricota; Caudoviricetes. The record is from RNAcentral.
AGGCCGAUGGCGAAAUGGUAGACGCAUAGCACUUAAAAUGCUCCGCUUUAAAGCAUGAGGGUUCGAGUCCCUCUCGGCCUACCA